CGUGAGUAACCUGCCCUUGACUCUGGGAUAAGCCUGGGAAACUGGGUCUAAUACCGGAUAUGACCUUCCAUCGCAUGGUGGUUGGUGGAAAGCUUUUGUGGUUUUGGAUGGACUCGCGGCCUAUCAGCUUGUUGGUGGGGUAAUGGCCUACCAAGGCGACGACGGGUAGCCGGCCUGAGAGGGUGACCGGCCACACUGGGACUGAGACACGGCCCAGACUCCUACGGGAGGCAGCAGUGGGGAAUAUUGCACAAUGGGCGCAAGCCUGAUGCAGCGACGCCGCGUGAGGGAUGACGGCCUUCGGGUUGUAAACCUCUUUCAGUAGGGAAGAAGCCGCGAGGUGACGGUACCUGCAGAAGAAGCGCCGGCUAACUACGUGC
RNAcentral lists this ribosomal RNA (380 nucleotides) under Arthrobacter sp. RNAcentral describes it as "bacterial SSU rRNA". It matches the Rfam family "Bacterial small subunit ribosomal RNA", at positions 116 to 508 of the family's 1533-position model. Lineage: Bacteria; Bacillati; Actinomycetota; Actinomycetes; Micrococcales; Micrococcaceae. The record is from RNAcentral.